Molecule: ribosomal RNA, 1246 nt
Filed under: Enterobacter asburiae
Lineage: Bacteria; Pseudomonadati; Pseudomonadota; Gammaproteobacteria; Enterobacterales; Enterobacteriaceae
Description: bacterial SSU rRNA
Rfam family: Bacterial small subunit ribosomal RNA
Source: RNAcentral
CGGGGGGCGGUCUUACACAUGCAAGUCGAGCGGCAGCGGAAGUAGCUUGCUACUUUGCCGGCGAGCGGCGGACGGGUGAGUAAUGUCUGGGAAACUGCCUGAUGGAGGGGGAUAACUACUGGAAACGGUAGCUAAUACCGCAUAACGUCGCAAGACCAAAGAGGGGGACCUUCGGGCCUCUUGCCAUCAGAUGUGCCCAGAUGGGAUUAGCUAGUAGGUGGGGUAACGGCUCACCUAGGCGACGAUCCCUAGCUGGUCUGAGAGGAUGACCAGCCACACUGGAACUGAGACACGGUCCAGACUCCUACGGGAGGCAGCAGUGGGGAAUAUUGCACAAUGGGCGCAAGCCUGAUGCAGCCAUGCCGCGUGUAUGAAGAAGGCCUUCGGGUUGUAAAGUACUUUCAGCGGGGAGGAAGGCGUUGAGGUUAAUAACCUCAGCGAUUGACGUUACCCGCAGAAGAAGCACCGGCUAACUCCGUGCCAGCAGCCGCGGUAAUACGGAGGGUGCAAGCGUUAAUCGGAAUUACUGGGCGUAAAGCGCACGCAGGCGGUCUGUCAAGUCGGAUGUGAAAUCCCCGGGCUCAACCUGGGAACUGCAUUCGAAACUGGCAGGCUAGAGUCUUGUAGAGGGGGGUAGAAUUCCAGGUGUAGCGGUGAAAUGCGUAGAGAUCUGGAGGAAUACCGGUGGCGAAGGCGGCCCCCUGGACAAAGACUGACGCUCAGGUGCGAAAGCGUGGGGAGCAAACAGGAUUAGAUACCCUGGUAGUCCACGCCGUAAACGAUGUCGACUUGGAGGUUGUGCCCUUGAGGCGUGGCUUCCGGAGCUAACGCGUUAAGUCGACCGCCUGGGGAGUACGGCCGCAAGGUUAAAACUCAAAUGAAUUGACGGGGGCCCGCACAAGCGGUGGAGCAUGUGGUUUAAUUCGAUGCAACGCGAAGAACCUUACCUACUCUUGACAUCCAGAGAACUUAGCAGAGAUGCUUUGGUGCCCUUCGGGAACUCUGAGACAGUGCUGCAUGGCUGUCGUCAGCUCGUGUUGUGAAAUGUUGGGUUAAGUCCCCGCAACGAGCGCAACCCUUUAUCCUUUUGUUGCCAGCGGUUAGGCCCGGAACCUCAAAGGAGACUGCCAGUGAUAACUUGGAGGGAGGUGGGGGAUGACGUUCAGUCAUCAUUGCCCUUUACAGAUAGCUACCCACGUGCCUACAUUGCGCCAAUACAGAGAGAAGGCCGAACCUUCCCGAGGAC